GGGUUGUGAGGUUAAGCGACUAAGCGUACACGGUGGAUGCCCUGGCAGUCAGAGGCGAUGAAGGGCGUGCUAAUCUGCGAUAAGCGCCGGUAAGGUGAUAUGAACCGUUAUAACCGGCGAUACCCGAAUGGGGAAACCCAGUGUGACUCGUCACACUAUCAUUAACUGAAUCCAUAGGUUAAUGAGGCGAACCGGGGGAACUGAAACAUCUAAGUACCCCGAGGAAAAGAAAUCAACCGAGAUUCCCCCAGUAGCGGCGAGCGAACGGGGAGGAGCCCAGAGCCUGAAUCAGCAUGUGUGUUAGUGGAAGCGUCUGGAAAGGCGCGCGAUACAGGGUGACAGCCCCGUACACAAAAGCGCAUGUGCUGUGAGCUCGAUGAGUAGGGCGGGACACGUGGUAUCCUGUCUGAAUAUGGGGGGACCAUCCUCCAAGGCUAAAUACUCCUGACUGACCGAUAGUGAACCAGUACCGUGAGGGAAAGGCGAAAAGAACCCCGGCGAGGGGAGUGAAAAAGAACCUGAAACCGUGUACGUACAAGCAGUGGGAGCACAGGUUUACCUGUGUGA
Molecule: ribosomal RNA, 567 nt
Filed under: Salmonella enterica subsp. enterica serovar Kentucky
Lineage: Bacteria; Pseudomonadati; Pseudomonadota; Gammaproteobacteria; Enterobacterales; Enterobacteriaceae
Description: partial 23S ribosomal RNA
Rfam family: Bacterial large subunit ribosomal RNA
Source: RNAcentral